Molecule: unclassified non-coding RNA, 314 nt
Filed under: uncultured Tomentella
Lineage: Eukaryota; Fungi; Basidiomycota; Agaricomycetes; Thelephorales; Thelephoraceae
Description: sequence contains ITS2
Source: RNAcentral
AACGCACCUUGCGCCCUUUGGCUAUUCCGAAGGGCAUGCCUGUUUGAGUAUCAUGAACACCUCAACUCUCAUGGCUUGCUGUGAUGAGCUUGGACUUUGGAGGUCUUGUUGGCCUGUGAGCCAGCUCCUCUUAAAUGAAUUAGCUUGCCAGUGUUUGGUGGCAUCACAGGUGUGAUAACUAUCUACGCUUGUGGUUUCCCAUCAAGUAACCUUCAGCGAUGGAGGUUCGCUGGGGCUUAUAAACAUCUCUCCUCGGUGAGGACAGAUUUUGACCGUUUGAUCUCAAAUCAGGUAGGACUACCCGCUGAACUUAA